Long non-coding RNA from Lycium ferocissimum, 1066 nucleotides. RefSeq lists it as uncharacterized. The record is from RefSeq and is a predicted model, not a curated record. Lineage: Eukaryota; Viridiplantae; Streptophyta; Magnoliopsida; Solanales; Solanaceae. The transcript has 3 exons.
UCUCCCACUUGAUAACAAAACCACUAAACCCUCCUCGUUUCUCUACUUUCCUAAUCAGAAAAACCUAAGCAUCGUUUCCUUACAAAUCCUCCUCCUUCAAAGAGACCCUAUCCUCAAGGUCGGAGUUGAGCUACAAAUGUUGGGAACCUGCUCUGAAUGUAACCCCAAUCCUCCCACGUGGCAGCAUCAGGGCCCAAAUUAGCCCACUGAACCAAAACCUUAACCCCCAUUGCAUUAUUGACCUUUACCAUUCUUCGUUCGAGAAUCGCGAUGGGCUGCAUCAAAAUGUGACCGUCGGCAUCGCAAGCAGGUGGGUGUUGGUGUGCAACCAAGUCCGGCCCGAUACGUUGCUUUAGUUGAGACACAUGGAAGACCGGAUGGAUCUGCGAGUCUGGUCGAAGCCCUAAAUGGGGUAUGAGAUGAUCAUGAUUCCUCCUAGGAGGUAGGCUCUUUGGUUCAACAAAUACAUCUGGGAACCUGCUUACCACUUGGUGAAUCUCCUCAGGAAAUGAAUUAGGACUCUGCCUUCCCUGACAGAUGCAUCAUUGCAAUCUCAAGUUUUUGAUCUGGGUCGAAGAUGCGAUUGUACUGGAAGUACCUAUCAACCUUUCUCAACCACGAACAAGGAUCAACUCCAUCGAAAUAUGGAAACUCAAAUCUAGGGUGGUGAUCCCUAAGGUUCGAUGAUCUUGUAUACUCGUUCGCUUCUCCUCUUGCGUUUUUGCCGCCUGAAAGUUCCAUUUGACGAACUCUUCUAGGUGCACUACCUAGGAUUCCUUCCUGAGUUGGAGUUUGACUUGAAGAGAUGUUACCAGUUGCUUCUUCUCGGUUAUUGACCAAUUUUUCCAACAGAAAAUCCAUUUUUUACCUAGUUCUUCCAUUUUCGAGUCAUUAGACUCGAUGUAAGUUUGUAAUUGAGUAUCCAAUUUUUUUACCAACUCUUCAGUCAUUUUUUAUCGUGUUUCUGGGACUGUCAUAGUGGCCAGAAUGGGCUCUGAUACCAAUUGUAACGUACGUAGAUAACUGAAGAAUAAUUCGUAAUCGAAAUAGUAAUUUGAGAGCUAAA